GACGAACGCUGGCGGCGUGCUUAACACAUGCAAGUCGAACGGAAAGGCCUCUUUCGGGGGGUACUCGAGUGGCGAACGGGUGAGUAACACGUGAGUAACCUGCCCUUGACUUUGGGAUAACUUCAGGAAACUGGGGCUAAUACCGGAUAGGAGCUCCUGCUGCAUGGUGGGGGUUGGAAAGUUUCGGCGGUUGGGGAUGGACUCGCGGCUUAUCAGCUUGUUGGUGGGGUAGUGGCUUACCAAGGCCGUGACGGGUAGCCGGCCUGAGAGGGUGACCGGCCACAUUGGGACUGAGAUACGGCCCAGACUCCUACGGGAGGCAGCAGUGGGGAAUAUUGCACAAUGGGUGGAAGCCUGAUGCAGCAACGCCGUGUGCGGGAUGACGGCCUUCGGGUUGUAAACCGCUUUCGCUCAUGACGAAGCUUUGUGUGACGGUAGUGGGUAAAGAAGCACCGGCUAACUACGUG
RNAcentral lists this ribosomal RNA (467 nucleotides) under uncultured bacterium. RNAcentral's name for it is "partial 16S ribosomal RNA". It matches the Rfam family "Bacterial small subunit ribosomal RNA", at positions 28 to 507 of the family's 1533-position model. The record is from RNAcentral.